Molecule: RNA transcript, 2849 nt
Organism: Podarcis raffonei (Aeolian wall lizard)
Lineage: Eukaryota; Metazoa; Chordata; Lepidosauria; Squamata; Lacertidae
Exons: 12
Source: RefSeq, a predicted model, not a curated record
GCUCACAGACCAACUGUUUAAUUCUGUUCUAGGACCUUUCCUGGUAUCUACAUCAAGCUGACCAGUUGGUAGUUGCCUUUUUGAAGAUGGGAGCAAAACCUUCCUGCUUCCAGCCCACAGGGACUUCACCUGUUCCCCAAGAAUUCUCAAAUGUUAGAGGAGGAAGCUCUGAGAUUCCAAAUAUGGAAAGCAACACCAAGAUGUCUCGCCAAGUCACUGUUCUUGUGAUUGGAGCUGGAAGUCGGGGAAUGAAUUAUUCCUCUUUUGCUCAGCAGUUUCCUGCACGCAUGAAGGUGAUUGGUGUGGCAGAUCCACAUCCAUUUGCGAGGAAGAGGCUCCAGAAAGCUCAUGGCAUUGACGAGGACAAUGUGUUUGAUGACUGGACAGCAGCGGCUGAGAAAGAGAGGUUUGCGGAUGCUGUUAUCAUAGCAACGCCCGACAGCCUUCACAAGGCGCCGGCAGUGGCUUUUGCCCACAAAGGAUACCACAUCUUGCUGGAGAAGCCCAUGGCGGUAACACCAGAGGACUGUAAAGAAAUAGUUCUGGCCUGUAAAACCAACGACGUCAUCCUCGCAGUCUGUCACGUCCUGCGCUACCAUCCAGUGUCCUUGAAAAUAAAGGAACUCCUCGACGCUGGACUGAUUGGAGACAUCUGCCACAUUCAGCACCUGGAACCUGUUGGAUUCUGGCAUUUUGCCCACUCCUUUGUACGAGGAAACUGGCGGAACGAAGCCGAGAGCACCUUUUCGCUGCUCGCUAAAUCGUGCCACGAUGUCGACCUCAUCAAUUACUGGAUGGGCAGCAGAAGAUGUUUGAAAGUGUCAUCUUUUGGCAACCUGUCCCAUUUCACGAAAGAGCACAAGCCGGAAGGAGCUGCAGAUCGCUGUUUAGACUGUUCGGUUGAACAAACCUGCCCGUAUUCAGCAAAGAAGAUUUAUCUGGCACAGGCCGAGAGGGGAUACUUUGGGUGGCCAGUUUCUGUGGUCUGCCAUAGUGGUGAGUACGAUAUAGAAUCGCUGACCGACGCUUUGCGCCACGGCCCCUACGGAAGGUGCGUUUACGAGUGUGACAAUGACGUUGUUAAUCACCAGGUAUGCAGCCUUGCACUAAACCUUCCUUCCUCUUCUCCCCAGCUGCCCUCCUGUGGUUAUUUCUUAACCAAAUUGACAAGUCACAGAAAUGGCAGCAUUAUUGUCUUGGAAGAUGUUUAGUAGGGCAAGUUCUGGGUUGACUUCUAAAACUUGUUUAGUUAUUUUGCAUAUUUCUUAUAUGAUUGCUGUCCAGAAGAGUUGGAUUUUGGGGCAUUCUCACCACAUUGUGGAGGUAUGUGCCUGUGGAUUUUGGUGAGGUUCACUAGCAUUUUGGUGAGGUUCCUGGGUGUAUUAGCGGUAGUUUUUGUGGUGUUAGGUACCAUAUGUAAGUGAGUUUUCUAGAGUGAGUUCUUUCCUUUCCGCUGAUACGGAUUUAAAGGGAGGUUUAGACCACAUUCUAGUCCAUUGGGUGGGGUUAAUCUCAUAGCCUAUGCUCCCCACCCUCCAAUUAUCCUCUGCACCUUUGCAGUGAAUAUUUUCUAGAAGUAUGAAUUGCUUGACUUUAAUAUAGUACAGGAUUGGGGAACCUUUUUUCAAGCUGAGGGCUGCAUUCUCUCCUGGGUAAUGUUCGGGGUGGCAAAAAGGAGGCAAAAGAACGCAAAUUUGACCUUUGUGCAGUUUUCUACACACAUACAUCUCUGUCUUCCGUUUGGGAAAGCAAGAGGCACGAUCAGAGUUCAAGGGCAAAGUCCAGUCUGACAUAAACUCUCAGGGAGUUGAUAGUUUAAGAGCAGCUGGCUUCUAGUGAGUCUGCAGGGGCAGUCAGCUAUAUGGCAGUAUCUGACAUGCACCUCUGAUGGCCUCCUGACAGCUGACACGAAAUAGCCAGGGGGCAUUUCCUUAUGUCAUUUUCAUUUAACCAAUCAGAAACAUCCCUUCAGAUUGAUGAUAAUAGUAACGACUCCAAGCCAAUGAAAGUUGGCCUUGCUUUUGAAUUUGAAACCCAAAUGUCAAUGCUCAACAUAAAACUUCUGGUGACAUUUUUCAUUGUCAGUUUUGGGGGUGGGAAGGUUUGUUAUGGCUCUAGUUUGCUAAUUUAAGACAGGGUUUCUUCAGCCAUUGCUGGACUACAGCUCCCAUCAUCUCGAGCUAGCAGGACCAGUGGUCAAGGUUGAUGGGGAUUGUAGUCCAAAAACAGCUGGAGACCCAACUUUGGGAAACCCUGAUCUAAGAUUUCAAGGUUUCAUAUAUUUCUGUAUGUGUAUAAUCUAUCACACACGCAUCCACACUUUCUAUUCCAAAUUUGCCAACCCGCAGUUCUCAGAUACUUUGGACUAUACAGUGGUACCUCGGGUUAAGUACUUAAUUAGUUCUGGAGUUCCGUUCUUAACCUGAAACUGUUCUUAACCUGAAGCACCACUUUAGCUAAUGGGGCCUCCUGCUGCCGCCGGAGCGCGAUUUCUGUUCUCUUCCUGAAGCAAAGUUCUUAACCCAAGGUACUAUUUCUGGGUUAGCGGAGUCUGUAACCUGAAGUGUAUGUAACCUGAGGUAGCACUGUAACUUCCAUCAGCCCAAGCUGGUGCUUACAGAAGGCAUGCUUUGAAACCAGUCUUGAGAACUAGGAGCAUCCAUUUAAAUAAUGGAAAUUGAAACCUGCUUCCAGCUCCCUGCCAUGUUCUGUACACCGGUCUUCACUUGUUAUUUCAUGUCCCUCCUCAGGUUGUCAAUAUGGAGUUUGAAGGUGGAGCCACUGUUGCCUUCACAAUGGUUGGCUUCACGCACAAACUAGGCGUGAGGAAAACAACCAUCUAUGGGACA